This 481-nucleotide ribosomal RNA is filed under the name uncultured bacterium. RNAcentral's name for it is "partial 16S ribosomal RNA". It matches the Rfam family "Bacterial small subunit ribosomal RNA", at positions 28 to 507 of the family's 1533-position model. The record is from RNAcentral.
GAUGAACGCUGGCGGCGUGCCUAACACAUGCAAGUCGAGCGAAGCGCUUAAAUUAGAUUUCUUCGGAAUGACGAUUUUUGUGACUGAGCGGCGGACGGGUGAGUAACGCGUGGGUAACCUGCCUCAUACAGGGGGAUAACAGUUAGAAAUGACUGCUAAUACCGCAUAAGACCCCAGCUUCGCAUGAAGCGGUGGUAAAAACUCCGGUGGUAUGAGAUGGACCCGCGUCUGAUUAGCUAGUUGGUAAGGUAACGGCUUACCAAGGCGACGUUCAGUAGCCGACCUGAGAGGGUGACCGGCCACAUUGGGACUGAGACACGGCCCAGACUCCUACGGGAGGCAGCAGUGGGGAAUAUUGCACAAUGGGGGAAACCCUGAUGCAGCGACGCCGCGUGAAGGAUGAAGUAUUUCGGUAUGUAAACUUCUAUCAGCAGGGAAGAAAGUGACGGUACCUGACUAAGAAGCCCCGGCUAACUACGUG